Molecule: small nuclear RNA, 100 nt
Filed under: Carassius auratus (goldfish)
Lineage: Eukaryota; Metazoa; Chordata; Actinopteri; Cypriniformes; Cyprinidae
Description: U2 spliceosomal RNA (ENSCARG00000021432.1)
Rfam family: U2 spliceosomal RNA
About the family: U2 is a small nuclear RNA (snRNA) component of the spliceosome (involved in pre-mRNA splicing). Complementary binding between U2 snRNA (in an area lying towards the 5' end but 3' to hairpin I) and the branchpoint sequence (BPS) of the intron results the bulging out of an unpaired adenosine, on the BPS, which initiates a nucleophilic attack at the intronic 5' splice site, thus starting the first of two transesterification reactions that mediate splicing.
Source: RNAcentral
AUCGCUUCUCUGCCUUUUGGCUAAGAUCAAGUGUAGUAUCUCUUCUUAUCAGUUUAUUAUACGAUACAUUCCCUAUCCAGGGACUACAUUGGGAAGUCAU